GACGAACGCUGGCGGCGUGCUUAACACAUGCAAGUCGAGCGGUAAGGCCCUUUCGGGGGUACACGAGCGGCGAACGGGUGAGUAACACGUGGGUGACCUGCCCUCAGCUCUGGGAUAAGCCCGGGAAACUGGGUCUAAUACUGGAUAUUACUCUGCGGUGCAUGCCGUGGGGUGGAAAGCCUUGUGCGGCUGGGGGAUGGGCCCGCGGCCUAUCAGCUUGUUGGUGGGGUGAUGGCCACCAAGGCGACGACGGGUAGCCGGCCUGAGAGGGCGACCGGCCACACUGGGACUGAGACACGGCCCAGACUCCUACGGGAGGCAGCAGUGGGGAAUCUUGCGCAAUGGGCGAAAGCCUGACGCAGCGACGCCGCGUGAGGGAUGACGGCCUGGUGU
RNAcentral lists this ribosomal RNA (393 nucleotides) under uncultured bacterium. Its description in RNAcentral is "bacterial SSU rRNA". It matches the Rfam family "Bacterial small subunit ribosomal RNA", at positions 28 to 422 of the family's 1533-position model. The record is from RNAcentral.